AACGAACGCUGGCGGCAGGCCUAACACAUGCAAGUCGAGCGAGGACUUCGGUCCUAGCGGCGGACGGGUGAGUAACGCGUGGGAACGUGCCCUUUGCUUCGGAAUAGCCCUGGGAAACUGGGAGUAAUACCGGAUGAGCCCUUUGGGGGAAAGAUUUAUCGGCGAAGGAUCGGCCCGCGUUGGAUUAGGUAGUUGGUGGGGUAAUGGCCUACCAAGCCGACGAUCCAUAGCUGGUUUGAGAGGAUGAUCAGCCACACUGGGACUGAGACACGGCCCAGACUCCUACGGGAGGCAGCAGUGGGGAAUCUUUGACAAUGGGGGAAACCCUGAUCUAGCCAUGCCGCGUGAGCGAUGAAGGCCUUAGGGUUGUAAAGCUCUUUCAGCUGGGAAGAUAAUGACGGUACCAGCAGAAGAAGCCCCGGCUAACUCCGUG
Molecule: ribosomal RNA, 433 nt
Filed under: uncultured bacterium
Lineage: Bacteria
Description: partial 16S ribosomal RNA
Rfam family: Bacterial small subunit ribosomal RNA
Source: RNAcentral